RNAcentral lists this ribosomal RNA (407 nucleotides) under uncultured prokaryote. Its description in RNAcentral is "bacterial SSU rRNA". It matches the Rfam family "Bacterial small subunit ribosomal RNA", at positions 355 to 776 of the family's 1533-position model. RNAcentral also lists the same sequence under 1 other name. The record is from RNAcentral.
UGGGGAAUAUUGGGCAAUGGAGGCAACUCUGACCCAGCAACGCCGCGUGAAGGAAGAAGGCCUUCGGGUUGUAAACUUUUGUUGUAGAGGACGAAGAAAGUGACUGUACUCUACGAGGAAGCCCCGGCUAACUAUGUGCCAGCAGCCGCGGUAAUACAUAGGGGGCAAGCGUUGUCCGGAAUCACUGGGCGUAAAGGGAGCGUAGGCGGGUGUUUAAGUUAAGUGUGAAAGCCUGGGGCUUAACUCCAGAAAUGCACUUAAUACUGGAUACCUAGAGUGUGGGAGAGGUAAGUGGAAUUCCUAGUGUAGCGGUAAAAUGCGUAGAGAUUAGGAGGAACACCAGAGGCGAAGGCGGCUUACUGGACCACAACUGACGCUGAGGCUCGAAAGUGUGGGGAGCAAACAGG